UGGCGCCCAACGUGCGGCCAGAGAACGGGGGAUCCAGUGAAGGACGCUGCUCAGGGGCCCUAAGAUUAAGAUUGAGGAACAAAGAGCACACUCGACACAGGAGAGGCUUGCAAUUGACGUAGCCCUGCCGUCUUUUUCGCACCUCGGUAAGUUGAGCAGCGAUUACGGGACAGGGCAUUAGUCGGCAUUAGUCAGCACGAAUUGUUUGUGCAAGGUCUCAAGGAGACAUUAGGCACGAGGGGUAAAGGUUACAGUCAAACAACUGCUGAAAUUUUUUGAUUAUAUUAAGGAUCUCUGUCCCU
Heterocephalus glaber (naked mole-rat) is the source of this 302-nucleotide non-coding RNA. The record is from Rfam. Lineage: Eukaryota; Metazoa; Chordata; Mammalia; Rodentia; Bathyergidae.